This 43855-nucleotide long non-coding RNA is filed under the name Coffea arabica (coffee). Its description in RNAcentral is "long non-coding RNA (CARA_LNC001800)". The stretch from base 33940 to 34074 matches the Rfam family "Small nucleolar RNA snoR74". Lineage: Eukaryota; Viridiplantae; Streptophyta; Magnoliopsida; Gentianales; Rubiaceae. The record is from RNAcentral.
UUUUUUUUUUUUUUUUGCGUAAAUUGCUGCAAAAUGAGUUGUAACUAGUUCUCGUAAAGCCUUAAUGAUGAAUAAUGAAGCCUUAAUAUAUAUAUGGUAGAUUUAGUUCCUCGAAGUUCAUAUGCAUGGAAGAGAAUGUUGCAAGUAAGAGAGCUGGCUGAGUUCCACAUUGGUUGGAUUGUUCGCUCGGGAAAUUCUAGUUUCGGGUUUGAUAAUUGGUUGGGGACGGGAGCGCUGGCUGGUUGUUUGGAUAGUGUUUCUGAUCAUUGUAUUUGGGACUUUUGCAAUAAUGGAGCUUGGAAUCUUGAAUUGCUGAAUCAAUGGCUUCCUCCGGAUUUUGUUUAGGAAAUUACUUGUUCAGCUCCAUCAGCUUUGGACUUGCAAGAUAAGAUGAAUUGGUUGCCAGACCAAUCAGGUUUGAUUUCUUUAAGCCCGCUUUUUCAAUAGUGCAAUUACAUUCUAGUCAUUCAUCCAUGUAUAGGCGGAUUUGGCAUGCUAGAUUGCCUUUUAAAAUUUCUUUCUUUGCGCUCCGGAUGUUGAGAGAUCGGUUGCCGUUAGAUUCCGCUCUUUGCAAAUUGGUUUUUCACCUUCCUUGUAGGUGUUUUUGCAGUGUAAACCCUGAUAUAGAGUCGUUGGAUUAUGUGUUUUGCUCGGGUGAAACUGCUUCAUGGGUUUGGAAUUUUUUUGGUUCAGUGUGUGGAGUGGUUAAUUUAGGUCCCUCCGUUCGCGCUUAUACUGGUGGCUUGUGGUAUGGUCCUAGGUGGCAUAAGUUUCUGGAAUUUAUUCCUCAUCUUCUUCCUUUGUUGAUAUGCGGGCAUCUAUCGAAAUUCUAGAACUUGGCAGUGUUUGAAGGGAAGUGUUUAUCUCCUCAGGCGAUUUGUUCCUUGGUGUUUUCUUACUUGAGGGAAUUAUAUAAUUUGCACUUUCAUUCUGCUAAUGCUUGGUGGGUUUUGGGUUUGAUUUCUAUGAUGAAGUUUUUGGAAUGUCUGUUAAUAGCAGCUUGAAAUUGGUUAAGUGGCUCAGGCGAGGUGGUGGUAUUUUAAAGUUGAAUACUGAUGGUUGCUCUAAGGCUAACAUGAAAUUUUUCAUGAAGCAAGUAUUUGCAAAUGAAUUAGAAACAGUAAUCUAAUAGGAUAAUAUUCCAAGUAUUCUCUGCAUCCCUAAUACUCUAAUAGGAUAAUAUUUCUUAGAGUAUUGUUAAAAAAAUCGACAAAAUAAGAGAAGUGAUGGGUCUUUUCUUCAUCUAGGGGGGGGACUAAAAUCGGCAAAAAUUGGCACCACUAACCUGAGGCACCCCUCCCCCCCAACAUAGGAUUAUCUCUCAUCUUGAGAGCAUUUUCUCUCUCUAGCUUGGGAGCGAAUUUCCCCCAUGUGGGUGUUUUCAAAUAUUUCAAACUCCAAAGUUUCCGUACCUUCGUUCUUGGCAACAUAUCCAUACUCUAAAUUUAAGGCAGAAGCACAUAAAUUUAGCCUUCGAUUUCAAAUCAUGUCUUAACACUCUUGAGCUUUCACUAGCAAUAUCAUGGAUCUGUUGAAGGAAAGGAAGCUUGUUGAACCAGGCUGAUACUUUCAUCAGCCUCUUCAUAGUUUGUCUUUUUCUUUCGAUUUCUCAUCCUUUUUUGCAGUGCAUUCAGCUCAAAGUCUAACCCAAAUCUCUUUUGUGUCUUUCGGCCUCUAUCAUUGUUGACGACUUUCAGCUGAGAUCUUAGCCAGUAGACCACCAAGCCUGUAUUCCGUGUCUUUAGUUUCUAUUUCAGUAGUUGCUUUCAGUAGCGAUAGUGUAGAUGCGGUAGUGUGGGUUGUGUGCGUGUUAAAGAUCUACUAUUUUUCUGAUCUGUCUCUGAUUUACAGGUAGUUAACAGGGGCUAUCCGAUAGGUAAGAUCUAUAGAAAACUGAUAAGGAUUAAAUAAAAUGGCAGAUAAGCUAGAGAAAAUUAUGAGGAAGCUUGCUUUGUCAGAAAAGGAAGUAGCAGGGAUCUAGGUGGAAAGAGAAGAUGUCUCGUACUGUCUAGAAGAGUGUAAGAGAAGCACUAUUGGAAAAGUUGUAGGAGGAAAAACGGUGAACAUUGCAGGUAGGGCUGCAAAUGAGCUGAGUCGAGUCGAGUUUUGGACUUAUCGAUAGAACUCGACUUAAUAACAGGUAGGCUCAAAUUUGAGCUCGAGCUCGAUGAACCAAGAAAAUUGAGUUCGAGCUCAACUCGACUAAGGAAAAGUCAGGAUCGAACUCGAGUCGAUGAGGCUCGCGAGCUGUAGCUUGAUUUCUGGCUCGCGAGCUGAUCGAAUUGUUAGCUCAUAAUGUAGCUCGAAUUUCCGACUCGUGAGCAGCUCGUUAGCUCGAGUUUUUGGAAAUUAUUCUAAUAAAAAAAUAAAUAAUUAAUUUUUCUUAAUAAAUAAUAAAAUAUUAGGGAUAUAUAUAUGUAAUUUUACUAUUAAAAUAAAAAAUAAAAAAAAAUAUAUAUAUACUCGAACUCACGAGAGUUUAAUAUUUUAAACUCGAGUUCGAGCUCGAAUUCAAUUUAGCCAACUCGAGCUCGACUCGAGCCGCUCGCCUAAUUGCAGGUAUGUGAAUCUUUACAAGUAAAAUGCAUAUUUGUGAAAAACUUAAAGGUGAUGGAAAAUGGGGUAAAUAUGUUCUAGUUUGUGUUUGCUAAUAUGCAGGAUAAAGAUAGAGCGUUAAAUAGUAGACCAUUGGUUUAUGAUAAUUUGCCGUUAGUAAUACUUUCAUGGAAGGAGGGGCUGGAAAUCGAUCAAAAUGCUUUCAACAAAACUUGGAUAUGGGUACAAAUCUGGAAUCUCCCUUACAUUGGAUUACAAAAGACACGGGAAGAAAAAUUAGAGGUGUAUUUCUGUCUGUGAAGGAAGUUAUUGCACCAAAUAGUGGGAGUAAAAAGGGAAAACAUUGAAAAUCUUAACUGAAGUUGACCCGAAUCAACCAAUGCUGAGGGGAACUCUGGUUAAAAUGAACAGUAUAAUUAAAUGAGUGGAAUUUAAGUCUGAAAGGUAUCCUAAUUUCUGCUUUAACUAUGGCAUUAUGAGGCAUACUUAGAGAAACUGUAAAGAGAAAGGAACCCAUAUGGGAAAGGAACCUCAAUUUGGAACUUCAUUAAAGGCUAGCAAUCCUAAAAGUCCUACUAAGAAACAGGGUAGAUCUAGACAGCAUGAGGAUGAUCCAAAUGAAAUAGCAAGCGAUACACAAAAUGAAAAUGGGGACAUAAACUGAUCGAUGAUAACUUGGAAAGAGAAUGAGGGGGAAAAAGAAGAGAAUGAAGGUAGAAACAAAGAGGACAAUGAGGAUGAUGGGGCUAGAGUUAAAGGAAAUAGUGGUCAGAUCAUUAGGGAGGAGCAAAUGAGAGAGGAAAAUUAUGUUGUAAUGGGUAAAAAUGAUUUUUGGGAGAAAAGGGAAGAGGACACUGGGAAAUCUCAAAAGGGCAAUGAGGGGAAGCAAAAGGAAAUGAGGGAUGUUGUGAGAAAGGGUAUUGAGGGAGUUGAGGAAGAGAUAGGGGAAGUAGGGCAGGAGGACAAUAUGUGGAUAGAUGGAAUUAAUGAUCACAGAAUGGAAAGGCAGGUGCGAAGGAAAAAGCAGGAAGCCUGUUGGAAGCUAAAGAGGGUGGACAGGAUGGAAUUGGGAAAGAGAAUAAGAAAGGAAAAUACAAAGGGAAUAUAGGAUGGAAAAUACUAGUGAAAGAAGUAGGGAACAUGAAGCCUUUAGCAGAUUGUACUGCGAGAAUUAUUGGGGCAAAGGAGAUAGUAAAAUGAAAAGUGGUAGUUGAGGAUGGUGUCAAUAGUGAGGGAAUGGAAGUAGAUAGUCAAACUAAGAGGAUCAAAGGGAGUGUUUAUUAGGAAGAACAUGAGAGUAAUCUGAAGGUGGUGGAGUCCUACCUAAAAAGGCUCCAAGUUGUCAAUAAAUGUACUGGUGUGGAAUUGUAGAGGUGUGGGAGGCCCUUUGAUAAUUCCCCAAUUAGAGGAGAUAGUUAAACUCCACUCCCCAAAUUUAAUUUUUUUUAUUUGAAACUAAAAAUAAAAAAUGUGCUAUGAACAAGGUUAAGAUGAAACUUAAGUUUGAUAAAUUGUUUGUGGUGGACCCAAGAGGGAAGACAGGAGGCUUAGUUGUUAUGUGGAGAAAUGAUAUUAAGGUGGACAAAGUGCUAUACUGAUUUUACUAUUGAAUUACAGAUAGAUGACCAAAAAAAAAAUUUCAAGUGGUGGAUCAUAGGCAUAUGCCAGCUCAGGUGACCUGGUUAGAGAAAAAUAGCGAGACAUUAUUAGCCAAAGGAAAGGUAUUUGGGGGGAUAACUGGAUUUUAGUAGGAGAUAUGAAUGGUAUUCUAUCAAAUGCUGAGAAUUGGAGAGGUAAUAAGAGGCCUGAGUCUAGUUUUAGAUGUUCCAAAACUUUAUCAGAAAAAAUCAACUUUCAAAUUUGGGAUUUGAUGGGAAACCAUGGACCUAGCGUAAAAAGUGGAAUAAAGGUGAUGAGGUAAAAGAAUGACAGGACAGGAUAUUGACAGAUAAUGGAUGGAAGGAGGCUUAUGACAGAGCAGAAUGCACUCACAUCCAUAUUGAACCAUCAAAUCACUGUAUGCUGUUGUUAGAAACUGAACCAAAAAGAAGAAAUUGGAAAAAGAGAUUCUAUUUUGAUAGAAAAUGACUUGAAUAUAACGAAGUUAGGGAGUUAUUAAAAAAGCAUAGGGGAAAAAGCAAAAGGGAUCCAGAUUUUUCAGACUUCAAAACAAAAUCAAAGAAUAUAGCUUUGAACUCAUUAGAUGGAAUAAAAAGCUUAAAGGAAAUGCUAAGAAGGACUUUGCAGAAUUAAAGCAGAAAAUUCAAGAUACCAGGAAGGUAGUGGGACCCAAUAGGAAAGAGGACACCAGUAUCUUGCAGAGACAACUUGCAAAUGCUUACAAAAAGGAGGAAGUGUACUGGGGACAGAAAGCUAUGGUAAAGUGGUUUAAGGAAGGUGAUAAAAAUACAAGCUAGUUUCAUGCAGUGGUUGAGGAUAGAAGAAGAACAAAUAAGAUCUCUAUACUCUAGAAGCAGGAUGGAAAUUGGUGUAGUGUUGAGUUUGAAAUGGAGGAGGAAGUAACAAACUAUUUUGGCAAUCUGUUUGAAUCCUCAUAGCCAAGCCAAUUUGAUGUAAUCCUUGAAGGAAUUCCUCAGACUAUUACCAGUCAGAUGAACUUGAGAUUAACUAGACCUGUGACAAAAUGGGAGAUCAGAAAGGCAAUUUUCUCUUUGUAUCCUAACAAGACACCUGGACUUGAUGGUAUGACACCAAUUUUCUUCCAAAGAUUCUAUAAUAUUAUUAAACAUGCUCUAACUAUUGCAAUAUUUAGCUUCUUCUAUGCUGAUAACUUUCUGACAUCUAUAAAUGAACCAUUAUUACUUUAACUCCAAAGACUGAGUUUCCAGUGUUGGUGUCACAAUUUAAGCUUAUAAGUCUGUGUAAUGUAGUUUAGAGAAUCAUUGCAAAAGUCUUGGUCAAUAGAGUCAAGCCUUUACUUCAGCACUGUAUUAGUCUGAAUCAAUCAACUUUCAUACUUGGUAGGCAGAUUCAAGAUAAUGUGGUAAUUGCUUAUGAGUUGUUUCAUCACCUGAAUACUAAAAGAACAGGGAAAAUUAUGCAUAUGGCUCUUAAGUUGGACAUGUCCAAAGCUUAUGAAAGAGUUGAAUAGAUUUUUUUGGCAAAAAUAAUUUAAAGAAUGGGAUUUUGUCCUAUGUGGAUUCGGUGGGUAAUGAAAUGUGUGUCCUUUGUUAGCUAUUCCUUUAAUAUUAAUGGGACAAAAUAGGGUAUGUAAGACUUGAGAAGGGACUCAGACAAGGGGAUCUACUAUCCCUUUACCUGUUUGUGAUAGUCACUGAAGGUUUAUCUAGCCUACUUAAGCAUGCUACGCAAUGUCAAAAAAUUUCUGGAUUGAAAAUAGCAAAGGAAUGCUCGACUGUCUCUCAUUUGAUUUUUACAGAUAAUAUUCUAAUUCUCUGCAAAGCAACAAAGGAGGAAGCAUUACAGAUGUUGCAGAUUUUGAAGACCUACUCAAAGGCAUCUGGCCAAGUGAUCAAUACUGAUAAAUCAUCUGUGUUUUUUGGAAAAAUAUGAGAGAGGAUAAAAAAGGAAAGGUGCUGGAAGUGCUAGAAGAAAUGCAGCAAGUCCAACUGAGCAGGUACUUGGGUUUACCAGUAGUAAUAGGAAGGUCAAAAAAGCAGUCGUUUAGCUAUAUAAAGGAGAAAGUGAUGAAUAGGUUGAAGGGGUGGAAGGAGAAGCAGUUAAGUCUAGCUAGAAAGAAAGUAAUGCUAAAAUUUGUCAUACUGGCAAUGCCUACACAUGCAAUAGAUUGUGUUAGACUACCAAAUGGAAUAUGUGUUAAUAUAUGUAAGGAAAUGGCUAAGUUUUGGUGGGGGGAGAAGAAAAAAGAAAGGAAAAUUCAUUGGUUAGGUUGCGAGAGACUUACAAAUGUCAAAGGAAAACGGGGAUUGGGCUUUAGGGAUUUAAUGGAGUUUAAUACUACAAUGCUAGCAAGGCAGUUAUAGAGGAUUUUAACUAGGCCAAGCCAGAUGAUAAGUAGGAUACUAAAGGGAAGGUACGAUAGGGGGGAGUCAAUCUAGAAAAGGAAAAUUAAUGAAAGUGAUUCCUGGAUAUGGAAGAGUUUUCUCAGUGCAAGAGAGUUACUAGAAGGGGGGCAAGGAAGAGAGUUGGGGAUGGGCAUACAAUUGAUGUAUGGAAAGAUAGGUGGAUCAUUGAUAGAGGAAAGGGAAUGGUUACUACAGUUAAGCCUCUUGAUUAUCCUAUACAAAGAGUAAGUGAUCUUAUUCAGGAUGGGGAGUGGAAUAUGGAGCUCAUUAGGUCCAUUUUUAAUGAGGAGGACUACAAAAGUAUCAUGCACAUCCUUAUUAGCAUUUGCAACAAUAAGGAUAGAUUGGUGCGGCCAUUUUUAUCAUCUGGGAAGUACACUAUAAAGAUAGGAUAUACAUUGGCAAAGGAACAACAAAAAGAGAAGAGCAAUAGGCAUGUAAUGAAUAGGAGACAGGCAAAGAGUGAUAGUAGAAAUGAGCAGAAUACCAAGGUAUGGAGGUCCAUUUGGAGUCUAAAUAUGAAGCAUAAGCUAAACAUUUUAUAUGGAAAUGUAUGCACACGAUAUUGUAGUAAAUGGAGCCAUAAAGAAGAUAAUUGGGAAUGGGGAAAAAAAUUGCUUCUGUUGUGGAGAGGGAACUAAAACACUGGAGCAUAUGUUAUUCUUCUGUCAACAAGCAGAAAUGAUAUGGAAAGUUGCACCAGAUCAAUGGGAUGGAAUUGAGAACUUCACGCAUAAUUUUUGGUUAUGGCGUAAUAGCCUGAUGGAAGCUCAGCAGAGAAAGGAUGGAAAAUAGCACAUUGUGCUAACCAUAAAUAUUAUAUGGCAGAUUUGGAAAGCAAGGAAUGAAGCUCCAUUUAAUAGGGAAAAAAAAUGUCCAGGGACGGUGUUUAACAAAGUAGUGCAAGAGUGGCAAGAAUAUGAGCUGGCCAACCAGAAAAUUAAAGGGUUGAAGAAGAAAUACACCUAACAAAUCUAAACAGAUGGAAACCAUCAAAAGAGGAAGUGUUGAUGCUUAACACGGAUGUAGCAACAGAUAUAUAGAAAGGAAAAGCCAGCUGAGGAAUAGUAGCUAGAAAGGAAAAUGGUGAUAUCAUUAGAGCUUGGGCUGGAAUUAAGAAAGUUGCAAUAAUCCUAUGGUGAAGGAGUCCUAUGCAAUCAGGAAUGCCUUAACUAUAGCUAUGCAUGAGGUUGGAUGAAUAUGGAAGUACAAUCUGACCACAAAAUAGCAGUAAACAAGAUUUUGGAAGACGGAACAAGGGAUGCUAAGGUUGGAAUGUGAUAGGGUGUCGAGCCUGUGCAAUAAUAAUUACCUACUCAAGAAAAAUACAAAUUUUGUAUAUAGCAGUGAGCAGGGUCGAAUCUACAGGGAUUGGGGAUAAUUCGUUUAUUGUAAAAUCCAAAGUAUGGGGGGUUUUUUGGAGAAUAUAAAAUAACUAAUUAACUAACUAAUAAAACAACUAAUAGAAAUAAAUAGAAAUUAAUCAAUAACCAAUAUGACUCUAGCAAAAGGUGCAACUUUUCAAACACGGUCCAUUCAACUGAUCAUCGAUGCAAAGAUAAUUCAAUUACUCAUUAAUAGAUUGGUUAUAGUUAUCAUACACGCGAUGAACAACCAGCCUUUCCUUAAUUUCUCGAUAGUUAAGGUACGACCGUUAACUAUUUCUCUAAUCAAGAAAUAACCCUAGGUACGACCGUAGGAUUUAAUUCCCCAAUUGCAUUAAGAUCUAGAAAAGCCCAAACCCAACCCUAACCAACAAACACGCUACGAGGGUUUGUUUGAGUUAGAUCAUACGUUUCCCUAACAUGAAACCAAUCACGCUAGUCGCCACUGGUAUUAAUCAAUUAAACAAUUACGGAUUCAAUCAAUUAAUAUGACAGUAGAUUAUUAGGUUAAUUCGAACAUCGGGCCCUUGACAUUCAAAUAACAAAACAAUCAUAAGCAAUUAAAUCAGGAAACGUACAAAUACCAAUAAAUAAAAGAAAUAAAUAAAAUAAUUAGAUCUCACAGAUGUUCGAAACCGAGUCCUCAAGUUGACCUUCGACUAGAAAAAAUGAAUUAGUUCAUCUUCAUGGAGGAAAUCCCAUGCAAAAUUGCCGAAGUCCUUGCGGCCCUUGUCACCAAAAUUGAGAUAAGAAGAAAACGAUAAAGUAAGAACAACGGAAAAACUCCCAAUUCCCCAAAGAUAAAGCCGCGGCCAAAGGAAAAGAAUUGUCUCCUAAUCUAAAACAAAUUGCUUCACUUCUCUCCGUGGUCCCACCGGAUAAGGAACAAAACCAAUCCUCUGUACGUUUGUUUCCUUUUAAGUCCAAUGACUAAUGCCUUUCUUUUCUCCGUGGUCCCCGCACAAUUGAGAGCAAAAGUCCUCCCAAAGCUUCCUGCACCAACCGAGGCUUUCCUUCUUGUUUUGUUUCCUAUUUUACUUGUAGGACUCCAAUCUCCUAAUCAGCAAAGGAAAUGCAAUCUCUUUGUAGCACCAUGUGGGCCCGGUUGUUUGAAAUCUCAAUUAUCUCCAAAAAGUCUCAUUUUUUGUAGUUUUCUGUUCCAUUCCCUGAAAUUAAGUCCAGAUACCAAAUAUAAGUAAAUAUUACUAAUUAAAACAAUAUUUGGCAAGGACAAAGGGGAAAUUAACAAUAAAAUUACUAAUAAUUAACACCCUAUCAAUUCCCCCCACACCUAAAUCAUGCUUGCGCUCAAGCAUGGGAACAGCAAUUGAACAAAUUCGACAAUGACUAUUGCUCCAACUACCAUAUUGCCAAGAUACCCACGAAAAACAAAUAUCAAGCAUCACAGGUCAAGAUCCAAGAAAAACCGCCCCGGUUAGCUUCCCAACCACCAACUCCUCCAAUUUAAAGCAAACUAAUCUAAGAAAAAGGAAUGGUUGCUUACAUUUACCAGCAAAUGGUCCAACUAUUAACCAAAAUCUCGACAUUAAAAUCACAAACCGGCAAGCUGACUUAUUCACAUACUAACACAAUCUUUAUUUUAUUUUAUUUUUCUUUUUGUUUUGUUUUGUUUUUUUCUUUUUUUUUUUGAAUAACAAAAGACUUAGUCUAUAGCCCUUAGAGCCUUUUGACGCGAACUCCAACAUUUGACAGAUGGAGGAGCCCGGUUACUCAGCUCCAAUCGCUAUAGGAUCACGCACUCAUAGCAACUACUACCUUUUGAGGCGAAAAUCGACACUUUAGGUGAAGAUCCCCGGUUACUCAGUAGUAACCACUAGCGGAGUACAGUCAACUCUUAUUUACAACCAUACAACACAAUAACUAAAAAUAACACAAAAAUAACAGCAGCCAGUCUCAAAUUUCCAGAUAUGGAGAACUAAAAUUAAUAAUUGGACCAAUUCACAUGAAAAAUGCCAACAAUCAUUCUCUAUGCCUAGAAAAGUUAACCAAAAAUUAGAAAAGUCAAGCAAUUACUGAUAUUCACCAGAGAGAUGUUCCUGAACUCGACCACAUCAACUUAAUACCCUUUUAUUAAUAAAACUUGGCAAUAGCAGAAUUAGAGACAACAAUCCAACAUCAAAACUUGGUAUUCAAAUAAGAACUGACCACUCGGAAAAAGAAAAGAAAAUAAGCGAAAAAGGGAGAUAAAUAUCAAAAUAAAACAAAGAAAAAACCUCUAGAACCCAAAAACCGAAAACUGGAAAUACUAGCACCCAAAAUUGUGACGGCCCCACUUCUCCCUAAGACGAACCAGAGGGUUGGCGGGUCGCCUGCCUAGCUCUCGCCAGGACUCACGCAAGUAAACCAACUAAAAAUCCACGUAACUUAAAACCAAAACACAAUUCGUCAUCUGGACAUGCCAAACUUUUUAACGACUGAAGUACUAUUACACCUUAACUUCAGAGAUAACAUUACCAAUGAACAUCCAAUCAUUCACUCUUAAACACAUCUCCGACUAGUUCAACCCAAAACUACAAAUAUACAUUACAAACCACACAGUAAACUCAUAAAACUCAAAUAAAUUCAUACAAGCCAAAACUUAGGGUUUGCACUUUUCCAGCUUCAAGUGACAACCCAAAACAAAAGAUACAAAAACGAUUCGAAACAACAUUUACAACAGCUAAAAGCAGACUUCAAAACAUCCGAAUGCCGAAACCUGUUAAGGAAAACAAAUAUCGUGUGGUGAGCCAAAGCUCAGUGGUGUCCAAAACAUGCAAUCAUAUAAACAAAUAGCAAAUAAUAGUUCUAAACUUAAAUUCACAAAUAGGAAAGCGUAUAACAGCACAGGGUAGGAUACAGGGGCUCUCAGGAGCCAUUUUCCCCGCACUUGAUCAAAAUUAACCGUAGUUGACCCUCUGUCAACUCUCACUAUCUAAAGUCCAUGUAGAUUCAUUAUUUUUUUUCCUUAACACGCUCCAACCAGCUUGCUCCCCCUACCGGGCCCGAACGCCGAACAAGAGAGUGGUAAUACUCGAGUAUACCUUAGGGACUGGUCGAGGGAUUCACCCAACGACGUUGCGUCCAACAAGAGGUUAGUAUAGACUGGUCGAGGGAUUCACCCAACGACGUUGUGUCCAACAAGAGGUUACCAGGUCAGGAUAAGAGGCCCUCUCACCCUUAAGGUGUGGUACCUUUCCCUGCCUAGUAGAUUAGUUGACAAGUCCACGCUCCAGUCAAUAAUUGCAAGAUAUUCGAGAAAACAUUUCAAGCAAGUCACCACUCGAAAGGCUAGUGCGAUAAAGUACACACUGCCACUUCGAUGAUUCAGGAAAAACACUUUCCAAUUAUCAUAUAACAAGUCAAGAAAGCACUUUAACACAUUAGUCAUAAAACAAGCACGGACACUCACCAAACGUGAAGGUCAAAAGUCAAGCUGGGAAUCAUAGUCCACGUCCUCGUUAAACCCUAGAAAUCCAAGUUUUAAAACUAUAAGUUUUACUAAACACACAUUUGGUUUAUAUAUAGAAGAUUAUCUUGUAUAAAACUAGUUUAAUUCCUCGAAAUAAAUCAAUAACUCCCUCUUAAGAUUAAAGCUGGAAAAGAAACAAAAUGUUUCGUGAGGUUUCUUUUAAAGAUAUUUCCUUUCUAGAAGCAAACUAGAACCAAAUUAGUUUAAACAAGUUUUCUUGCCGAACAAGUUUUCUAUGUCUUUUAUUUGAAAUUAUUCAAAUCUAGUGUUUUUCCAAAUUUCCUCUAAAACAACUGGUCAAGGGUAAUUUUUAUGAAAAAACUUUAAAGUUUGGAAGUUAAUACAAUUAUUCCUUAAAGGUAAUAAAACUAGUUUAAGUAAAGAAAAGCAUUAACUAGUCGGCAAGGUUUUAAAAGUCCUGAUAUUUAAAUUUUAAUAUUAACGUACUAUACUAUAUAUAUAUAGCUUGCUAUUAAGGUAAAAUAUUUCCACAAGGCUUGAUUUAAGAGUAUUUGCAUUCAAAAAAUUAAAAUGGACUUCACGAUUCCAAUUCAUUUGCACAUUGUAUUCCAAGUUGCCAAUACAGCUAAAACACAAUUCAAAUAUAAAUUUCACUAGGGCUUCAUCAAUCAUUAGCCCUAGGUCUCAACAGAUUCAGAUCCAAACAAAAUUUAACAAAGGAAGUCCGAGGUAUCAAAACAAUUCCCAAUCACAAACCACGGACCUUCCAAUUACAUUUUAGCCAAUCACUAAAACAAAUUUACCAAAAUUAAAUUCUUGCCAAAAACUACUCAAAUGGCCAAGAGCUUCAUCAAUCAUUAGCUCUUGGUAUCAAACAAACAUCCCUUGCCACAGCCAACAGAAAUUUAACUCAAGUAUAGAAGAUAAGUCACGGCUAGCUCACAUUCAAAUAACUCUAGAAGUUCAUAUUUUCCUUUCUUGCUUUGAUAGUCAAGAAAAAUUCUAGCAAAUGUCAAUUCAAGAUGUCUAUUAAAUCUCCAUCUUUUACUUGCUAGAUACACUAAACAUAUAGCUUAUAGUCUGCUCAACUUAAACUAAAACAAAUAAUACGCAAAUCCAGAAAAUAAUCUCACUAAAAGUUUCAAUUAGUACGGCUAGCAACCAUGUACAAAUUCCAGCAAAGAUACUUCAAAAUUUUCAACAAGGUUUCUAUCCUUAGCUUGCUUUAAACACUAAACACUUAACAUGCAAAAGAAGAUUAACCAGCCACAAACUACUCUUAACAUCCAAUACGAGAGUCUUAGCUAAAAAUUCGAGAGAAACUAGUUAAAUGUUCAACCCAAAACAAGAAGAAAAACCACAGCCAACUUGACUCCCAAAUAAUUCUAAAAUUCAAAAUUUUCUUCAAUUUUUACUUAAUUCAACAUGCAAAAGGUGAUUAGCAAGCUACAAGUAAAUUUUAAACAUUCCAUAUGAAAAUCUUAGCUAAAAUUCAAAGGAAAACUAAUUAAAUGCUCAACCUCUUCUUUCGGCCGCAAUUCAGCUUUCUUUUCUUCCUCCUUUUUUUUAUUAAACACGACUCAUCUCAGCUUCAUGCAUGAUCAAAAUAAUUAACUAUCAAUCAGUUUUGAUCCAAUCCAAGUGCGGACAUCAUAAAAAAAAAAUCAUCCAACCUACUCGGUUGUCAUGCAUGCAUCCAGAUUUUUUUUUCCUUCAAAUUUCUGGUUUACACACUGCUAAUAAAUCUCAUGCAGGGCUUAAUCAUCCAGUAUUUAGUUAGCUAAACACGCAACCAAGUGAGAAUCAAACACUUUCCAGCAAAAUUCAUACUAAAAUACCCAUACAAUUCCCAAAACAACUCCAUCGGCUAAGCUGGAAAAUUGGUUUAGCAGUCCAGUAACUUCCAAUAAAAAAAAUUCCAGCCAUACAACCGAAUUUCUGGCCAUAAAGUUCACAUGCAACACCAAAUAACAAGUUAUCUAUCAUAUUAGAUCCAAAACCAAGUUCGAAUGUCAUCAAAAUCACCAUCUUACCAGAAAUUCAUCCAAACUCUCUCUCGGUUAACAUGCAUGUAAACAGAUUCUAUAUUCCUUCACUUUUCUUGCUUAAACAAGGUUGAUUAACCUCAUGCAAAACGUAAUCAUCUAGCUAUUAAUUAACUAAACACACAACUAAGCUCAGAUCAUCACAAAGUAACAGGUUAAAGCUGAAAUUUCCAGCUCAAGCUCCCGGCAAUUCCAAUUCCUUCACAACCAGAUUUCUUGCAACUCAAUUUUGUCAUCCAACCGCACAACCCUACAUGCAUGCUUAUAAACAACUUCAUCAACCCAUAAUCAACUAGUUUAAUUCCAGAAAUUACCUCAGUUUAAGGCUUAGCUCACACGACAGGCAGCUGCAAAAUUUCUUCCUCUCGGCUAUCCAGAAUUGCAGCCCGCUAGCACUUCCUCUCCCUUGCUCUAGCUUGCGACUAGGAUGGGGACAAUAUAGCUCUCAAUCUCAUCACCAGCUCACUGAUGGAAGGAAAAUGGACGGCUAGUCUCUCUCCUCUCUUUCUAGCUUACGGACAAGAAGGAAAAGGAUGAAAAGCUCAACUCUCUCUCUCGGUCGUUAAUUCCAAAGGCUGGUCACUCACGGCUGAUAGCAGAGAAACAAAUGAAAUGAGGAUAUUGGAGUGAAUGGUAGUUGUUGUAGUGGAGCUGAGUCGGUUUUAUAAUGGCGGAAUUGCUGAAAUGGAUCACGGAGCCGGCAUGCUGAAAUUGUUUGAAAUUGGAGAUGGUUCUAGGAAACUCCAUGGCUGCAUGGUUGAUUUGAAAUGGAGGGAAGGCUAUUUUGGUCUUUUAGCAACUUGUUCGACCUUCCACUUAGGUCCCUCAUUUGUAUACUAACCCCGAGAUUUUUCCUCAAAUGAAAUUCGAUAGCCUACUAGCAUACUCACCUUGCAAAACUCAAUUAUCGAAAUACAACGUCCUACGUAUAAAUAUAAAAAGUUUUGGCUUUAAAACGAUUUGCCUUAAUUCUAGUUCCCGUUAACACUUAAUGUUAUUAAUACUUAAAAUUAGUUAUUGCAAUCAAAGAAUUAAAAUAAAAAUAAUGACACACUCAACGUCAAGAAUUAUUAACUUAACUUGGCCAAAAAAAAAUUCAAAUAGAUCUAUUAUUUUGUACAAUUGGAUUAUUUGACCUAAAACAAAUUAUUUUUACACACUUAUUUAAGAUCAAAUAAUAAUAAAAUUUAUUAAAAAUCUAAAAUGCACAUGCAACACGUACAUGUAUGUAUAUAUGUAUAUUUAUGAUUUCAAGGUUCUCACAUCCUCCCCUCCUUAAAAUGAAUUUUGUCCUUAAAAUUCUCACCUUCUAUAGAAAUAGAUCGGGGUACUUUCUCUGCAUUUCCUCUUCUAAUUCCCAAGUUGCCUCCUCUAAACCAUGAUUUCUCCAUAGAAUCUUUAUCAAAGGAAUUUUCUUAUUUCUCAAUUCCCUCACUUCUCUUUCCAAAAUCUUAACUGGUCCUUCCUCAUAAGUUAAUGAUUCAUCCACUUCAAUUCCUUCCAAUUGCAACACAUGGCUUGGAUCAGGGUGAUAUUUCCUAAGCAUAGAGACAUUAAAUACAUUGUGAAUCUUGGCCAUGCUCAAAGGCAAUUGCAGUUGAUACGCCACCUUUCCGAUUCGUCUCAAGAUUUCAAAAGGUCCAAUAUACCACGGCUUUAACUUUUUACCCUUUUUGGACCCUACUCCGCCCUUCACGGGUUUAAUCCUUAGGAAAACUUUGUCUCCUACUUCAAACUCCAAAUCUUUCUUCCGAGUAUCUCAAGGCUUCAAAAUGUUAUCAUAUUUUCCUACUAAUUUUCAGCUGCUUUCGGAUCAAAGCCCCGAAAAACUUGGGUAGAUGAACUUUUAAUAUGUUUCUAGGGCUUGUCCUCCCCUACAUUCCGUUUUCUACGUGGAUUACAGUCCCACUUGGUCCUGUUGGGUGCUAUAAACUCUAAAAGGUCAGUCAUCCGGUUCAAAGCAGUGGCUACUGAGUCACCUAUAUGGGUUCCUUGUCCCUGGUUCUGGUUGACCGCAGAUCCCCGUUGUUCCUCUUGCUCUUGGAGUUGUCUCGGUUUAUGGCUCUGUCGUCGUGACUCGGCUUCCAUAUCUCUUUCACAAGGUUCCAACUUUCACAAGUUUCCACGGCUAAACUUUACAUAAUAUCAGAAAUAAACAUUUCCAUGCAUUUCCUAUAAUAUUCUUCCAUUUUUUUCCCAUUGAUAACAACCUGCAAUUUCAGUUGAUCAUCAUUCAGCUCUCACAGCUUCAGUCAAGGAUCAUUUGAGCUUCAAACCAGAAAUUUCCCUCAGUUGAAGCUCACUUUCCUCUGCUAAAACUCAACUUGCAGCUUAAACAUAUACUCAGCUGCACUCAGUAUAUAAGUGUUAUUCACGAAACUUACCUCUUGCCUUAAGUGUUAGGAAUCGCAGAUGAAAUCAGUUUCCUUUCCGACUUUGUUCCCUCCAAUCCUUGGUUAGUUGAUGACGAAGCUCACUAGGCUCUCUCUCUCUGUUUCUCUCGGUGUUGGCCUGGUAAAGAGACGAACUAAAGUUUUAUUUUGUUCUCAACCACCGCCCAAACUUUAGCAGAUAGUUUUCUGCUUUUCCUUUCGGUAACCGCUUGUAUUUAACAGACCAUUGGCUUGGAAUUUUCCUUUGGUUUCUCUCAAGCACCGCCCAAGCUUGUUUAGCAUUUGCUUGCCUUACUUCCACUCGGUUCUAGAUUCUCUAAAUGUUUGUCCUUUCCAUAUUUUACCUUCCAUUUCCACAUCACUUCGUCUAAUCAUUCAUGUUUACCACAAAACCUUACCCAAAGGAAUUUGGUCUUAGUGUUUUCCCUCCGUAAUUUAUGUGUCGUCUCGACUACUUCCCAAAGUAUAUAAAAAUUCAACUACUUGGAUUUACAAUUUAUCUGCGCGUUAUACUCAAUUAAACAAUCUUCACCUAAUAUAGCAUUAUAAACCUGACAUUAUCGCUCCCUAAGCUCUAUAUUUCUCACAACGAGUUGAUUUACAAUAUGUAAUAACCAAUUAUGCAUGCAUACAAUUGCAGUUAAUUUCACUCCAUAUAUAUCAUUAAUACAAAGCAAAUUUAUGAUCAAUUUAAUUACACCACAGAACAAAGUCAAUCAAAGCAUAUAUCAAACUCAAGUACACUUUAAUAAGAAGUCAAACAAGUCUUUUUAAAUGCAUUCGACUUUUGGUAAGAAGUUUAACAUUUGUUAUUUGGGACGUUUGAUCAAGAAAAAUCAUUUAACCCCACAAAUCACUUUUGAGAAUAAAAAUGCUUUUAAAAAAACUAUAAGCAGACAUGCAGGUUCGUAUUUACUUAAACUUUGGUCCAACGCCUCUACUCUUCGCACCUAAUCUGAGAAUUAGCUUUUAUGCCACAUAAAACUUAACUAUUUACUCUCCAAUUCACGACCAAUAUUCAUUCUUAGAUAUAAGAAAAGUUCAAAUAUUCGUAAAAGUUUAAAACAUGCCUAUAGGGCCAAUCACAAGAUAUAUGUAAAGUAAUUCUUAGGUUCACAAGGGAGAACCUUACUAGUUACUCAACUAGGUCAAUUCAUCAUAAUACCAGUAGAUCUCAUCUCCUCGUUCAGUUUCGACUUAGAUCGAGUACUAGGAUCCCAUUAGUUUAUACAAGACUAUCUAUCAAUCUUUCUUUCUAUUAUCUGUAUAACUCUUCUAACGGUUUCGAACCAUUAAUAUCCUUUGACGAGUUAAUCCUAACUUUUUCUCGUGUCUCUUUUCAAGUUCAAUUCGGAUCAAUAUUUUCAAAUUUAAGGCUGUAAGGUUUAAAAGGACACUUUUAUUUCAAACUAAAAUUGUCUGUAUUAUUUUUUUUUUAUGAACAAGAUCAUACAAAAGGAAGAACAAUCAACCAAAAUAAGAGCAUGUCAUUGCAUGAGUCGAUAAUGAAAAUAAAACUUUGCGUGUGUACUACCAAACAAGUUAACAAACCAACAUAAUCAAGUACAGAAUUUAUAGCAUUCCAAUACUUCAAAAGGGAACCAAUAUCAUGCUUAACAAAAUAUACAGGCCAAAACACAAGCAUCACCCCAACUAUCAUAAACAAAAGGUAUAAAAGGUCGUGCUCAAUAGUCUAGUUUGCAACUGAGCGAGAGGGCUACAUCAACUAUCUUUUCAAUUAAAGUUCUGCAUUCCAUCGUAAAUUAUAGAUCUACUACGUCUAAUAUCCAAUCAAAGAGUAUGAUCAUUACAUAUGUACAUCAAUGGCUCUUGAGUAUUCCCAACGAUCUCAAACAUUUCAUAUAAUAGCUCCAAAUAAUCCUCCAACAAAAUUUAAGGAGCCAAAUGCCAUCGAGAACUCACCUCAAUUUUGAAAACUCUCCUCAAGGUUUAGAGCUAUUCACAACUGCAUAGUUCUUACUUAAACUACGAUUUCACUCAAUUUCUAUGUCUAAACCAAUAUUUUAGGUAAAAGAUGGCAUAUAUUCCAUUUACCACUGGAUGACUAGUAAAAUUAUUCAUCUUAAAUACAGAAUUGGCACUAAUCUUCAAAAUCUCACUAUUGACUCUUCACCUUUAACUUUCAAAAGCUAGGCUUGGUCCUUUCGAUUCACUUUCCCAAAUUUAAUCAUGCUUUCUAGUCACAUCAUAAUGCAACAUACUGAAUUCUUCCCAAUUUGCAAAUACACCAUUGAAUGAAAUAUCUGGUAUUCGGGUACAAGAAUCUGACAAUAGGAUAAUUCACACCUCAGGCUGGCCAGUCCCAAGAGUAACUUACCUAUAUCUGAGAUUCCUACCCAACAUACAUAUCUAAUAUCCCCAACUAUAGACUUUUGUUCCACACUUAACAAGCCAAUCCCACAGUCCGAGAAUCCUCUCCCGGUACGAGCUCGAUAAGAGCUCUGAUACCACCUGUGACAGCCCCACUUCUCCCUAAGGCGAACCAGAGGGUUGGCGGGUCGCCUGCCUAACUCUCGCCAGGACUCACGCAAGCAAACCGACUAAAAAUCCACAUAACUUAAAACCAAAACACAAUUCGUCAUCUGGACAUGCCAAACUUUUUAACGACUGAAGUACUAUUACACCUUAACUUCAGAGAUAACAUUACCAAUGAACGAAAAAUGAAGGAAAAGUGGCGGUGUGGGCUUGCGGCGGCAGACGAACGAAAAAAGAGAAGAAAAAGUGGAAAACAGGGGAACAGCGGAGAAGAAGAAGAAAAGGAAAGGAAAGAAAGAAAAGAAAGAAAGAAAGAAAAAAAAAAGAAAAAGAAAAGAAAAUAAAUUGGUUUUGGGGGUUUUUUUUUUUCCAAUGUUUUUUCCAAUUUUUUCUGGAUUUAAAUUUUCAAAAUUAGAAUUUUUGAAGAAAAAGAAAAAAAUGGUUUUUUUCUUUUUUUUUUUUCUUUUUGAAUUUUCUCAAUGUGAAAUUUUUAAUUUUUUUUUUGGGGGUUUUGGGUCGUUAAACACAGCGUUGGUACGCCAAGAUUAUAAAACGUCCACUGACCUCAGGAGUCAUUAACAUGGUGUAGGCCCGCCAAGAUUGCAUUUCCUGCCAAGACACCCACUAACCUCAGGAGUCACAAACACCGCGUGGGCACGCCAAAAUUGCUGUUCUGACCACAGUGGAGGAAAACAUUAAGACCGACCACAACCUAAAUAAGAAACGACAUAAUUAAAGAAUUUAACAACGAAAAACAAUAAAAUCAAUAUUUGGGUUGUCUCCCAAAAAGCGCCUUUUUUUAAUGUCUUUGGCUAGACAUUGUCAUCUUUGCUCAGGGAGGAUAAAAUCUUGUGGCUCGUUUCAAUGCUUCAUCCUUUAUAUAGUCCUGAUAACCCUCGUAAAUAGAGUAAUCCUUGAGCACACGAGUUACGGUUUUCCUUGGACUAGUAGAUGGCGCCAAAUAAUCAAGCAGUGAUCUCAAUUCUUCAUCCACUCCUCCAUCAAGAGCACUCAACGGUUCAAGAUAUUUGACCAUAGCUACUCUUAACUUAUUUCUGCCAUGAGACUCAAAAACUUCCGGUAUAACAAAAUCAAUCUCAUUAGCAGAAAUCAUAGAGUAAGAGUUAGGAAAAUGCGGGUUAGGGAAUGGAGGUGGUGUCACCACAUUUGAUGAUUCUUCACUGGAUUCUUUCACUUGAAUGGGUUGCGGUUGGGGUUCCAUUUCUUCCUUUUCGGCUUCUUUUUCAACUGCAUCUGUAGAUCUCUCAUUUUGACACUCUUGCAUCUCCUCAUCACUAGUCAAGCAAAUUGCACUCUCAUUUUCUUCAAAAUCAACAAUGAUUUUCGAGGGCAAUUCUUCAAUUUGAGAAGCCAAUCGAUUUAUUUUGGAUGUCAAUAGACAUAUUUGAUCUGCCAGAUUACUCAUUGCAUCCUUCAUCAUCCCAUUUCUCAUUUCUGUCUCCUGUUGGAAUUGAUAUGUAUUAGUAGCUAUUGAUUCAACUAUUUCUUCAAGAGACAUACCCGACAUAGAUGAUGAUUCUUGAGACUCAUACUGCUGAAAAUUCAUUGGCCCUGUUGUAUAAUUAUAACUGGAGUUAUCCCACCAUCCUUGAUCAUACCCGUUUGGAUUAGGGUUAUACCACAUUUGAGACCAGGGUGAAAAAUCUCCAUAAUUAUUGAUUGGGACACUCAGAUUAUCUUGAUAUUCGGGGCACAUACCGGUUGAAUGAUCCCUGGCAUAACAAAUUUUACAGGUUGCAGCAGCCAUUUUUUCUCUAAUAGAGUUUAGUGCCUCUGAAUACACAAACUUAGCAAAAAAAUAAGCCUCAUUGCCUUCCCUGGAAACAAAAUCCAGUCUAUCACCAAAAUACGGAGUGUUAGAAGCCAUAAACUAUAUAAAAAAAUAAGAGAAAAAUAAAUAAAAAAAUAAGAAAAAGAUGAAUUCAAAAAGAAACAAAUUAAUCUGGCACCAGUCCCCGGCAGCGGCGCCAAAAAUUGACAGGGUGUCGAGCCUGUGCAAUAAUAAUUACCUACUCAAGAAAAAUACAAAUUUUGUAUAUACAGUGAGCAGGGUCGAAUCCACAGAGAUUGGGGAUAAUUCAUUUCUUUUAAAGUCCAAAGUAUGGGGGGUUUUUUGGAGAAUAUAAAAUAACUAAUUAACUAACUAAUAAAACAACUAAUAGAAAUAAAUAGAAAUUAAUCAAUAACCAAUAUGACUCUAGCCAAAGGUGCAACUUUUCAGACACGGUCCAUUCAACUGAUCAUCGAUGCAAAGAUAAUUCAAUUACUCAUUAAUAGAUUGGUUAUAGUUGUCAUACACGCGAUGAACAACCUGCCUUUCCUUAAUUUCUCGAUAGUUGAGGUACGACCGUUAACUAUUUCUCUAAUCAAGAAAUAACCCUAGGUACGAUCGUAGGAUUUAAUUUCCCAAUUGCAUUAAGAUCUAGAAAAACCCAACCCUAACCAACAAACACGCUACGAGGGUUUGUUUGAGUUAGAUCAUACGUUUCCCUAACAUGAAACCAAUCACGCUAGGCGCCACUGGUAUUAAUCAAUUAAACAAUUACGGAUUCAAUCAAUUAAUAUGACAGUAGAUUAUUAGGUUAAUUCGAACAUCGGGCCCUUGACAUUCAAAUAACAAAACAAUCAUAAGCAAUUAAAUCAGGAAACGUACAAAUACCAAUAAAUAAAAGAAAUAAGUAAAAUAAUUAGAUCUCACAGAUGUUCGAAACCGAGUUCUCAAGUUGACCUUCGACUAGAAAAAAUGAAUUAGUUCAUCUUCAUGGAGGAAAUCCCAUGCAAAAUUGCCGAAGUCCUUGCGGCCCUUGUCACCAAAAUUGAGAUAAGAAGAAAACGAUAAAGUAAGAACAACGGAAAAACUCCCAAUUCCCCAAAGAUAAAGCCGCGGCCAAAGGAAAAGAAUUGUCUCCUAAUCUAAAACAAAUUGCUUCACUUCUCUCCGUGGUCCCGCCGGAUAAGGAACAAAACCAAUCCUCUGUACGUUUGUUUCCUUUUAAGUCCAAUGACUAAUGCCUUUCUUUUCUCCGUGGUCCCCACACAAUUGAGAGCAAAAGUCCUCCCAAAGCUUCCUGCACCAACCGAGGCUUUCCUUCUUGUUUUGUUUCCUAUUUUACUUGUAGGACUCCAAUCUCCUAAUCAGCAAAGGAAAUGCAAUCUCUUUGUAGCACCAUGUGGGCCCGAUUGUUUGAAAUCUCAAUUAUCUCCAAAAAGUCUCAUUUUUUGUAGUUUUCUGUUCCAUUCCCUGAAAUUAAGUCCAGAUACCAAAUAUAAGUAAAUAUUACUAAUUAAAACAAUAUUUGGCAAGGACAAAGGGGAAAUUAACAAUAAAAUUACUAACAAUUAACACCCUAUCCGAAUGUUGGUUGAAGAUAUCAAGCUGUUAAAACAAAAAUUCAGCAAGUAUUGCUUUUCUUUCAUUUGAAGGGAAGGAAAUGUUGUUAGUCAUAGCUUGGCAAGAUUUGCCUUGAACCUAGUAAAGGAUAUUUACUGGAAGGUAUCCUUCCCUCUCUGGUUAACUAGAUUAGCUAGAGAAGAUUAGAAGCAGUUGCUCCAAACUUGUAAGCAAACUAUCUAAAUUUGUUAUGGGUGAUAUAUGAUAUGUUGUUUACGUUUGAAAAAAAAUGAGGCAUCAAACAUCUUUUAUUUUAUUAAUUUUGAAAUUUUUUAAAAUGUUAAUUUUUUUUUAAUUUUGGAAACUAGGGGCUAUGUGUACUAGGCCUGCUGAUGACUCGAGCAACUCACGAGCAGUUUGGGUUAAAGCUUGGCUCGAGCUCGGUCAACACAAGCUCGAGCCGAGCUCAAGCCGUUCUUUAAAACAAAGGAGUCGAGCACGAGCCUUUAUUUCUUAGGCUCGAUAGCUCGAUGAGCUGCUCGAUAGACUCAAGUAAAAUACACUUACAUCAAUUAAAAUUUACAACUUCUUCUAUUUCUCACUUUCUCUAUUAGGUUAUCUAAUUCCGAAUUCCUCACUUCCUCCAUCCAAUCGAAGUUUUGAACUUCUUUCUCUGCCGACUGUCCCAACUCUCAAACUCCCAAUUCCCACUUCCGCCACCGCUAUCUCUGCUAGCUCCAUCUCCAAGCUCUUUUUUCGGUGCAACCCACUAAGCCCACCUCCACCACUCCCUACUAUGUCUAACAUCCUCAGAUCAGUCCACUGCCGACACUUGACUGCUACUGAGCUUGAGAAGCCUGAGUCACUGGCCCGAGAUCAUUUCAGCUAAUGGUCAAAACCCAAACAAAGUCUUCACACUCACUCAACCCUAUCUUACAUUGAAAAGUUGCAGUUACUCCACAACAACAUAACACUUUCUGCAGCCAUAGCUAGGCUUAGAUCUUCUCCUAAAGAGAAAAUCAAUUUUCUCCCUAGAUUUUGCAGGUAUGUACUUAGCUUCUUUUUUUUCCUUUUCUUUUUUCUUUCUUCCCCAGCUCUCUCCUUUCAAAGCUUUUUCUAGCGAAAAUUCUUUUUUUUCAUGAACAAGUUUUCUGUAGCUUAUUAUUCUCAGACAAAAAGGAAAAAAACUCAUAGCUCUCAUUUUUUCUUUGUUUUCUUUCUAUUUCUUUCCAGUUAAAAAACUACCCUUUGCAGGGUAAAACAAUCCUAAGAAGAAACUAGAUUUGGUUGUCGUUAAUUUAUUGUUGUAUAUUGUUCUUCUUCAUACUUCACCUUUAGCCAUUAUUUACUGUAAUCUUCUCUUUUAGAUCUCCAUCAUUAUCUGAAUGCAAAUAUAUGAAUUUUGUAUAUAUGUCUUCCCUAGUUAUGAAGUUGUUGUCUAUCAUAUUCAUAAGUUCUUGUCUCAUGCUCAAUAUUUUUGUCUACGUGAAACUAUUCAAUUUUAUGCUAGCUGAAAAUUUUUUUGUUUGUUUAUCUUCCAUAGCGUACAACAUAGAUGCAUCUAAUACAAGUACUUUAUCUACUUAAGCAUAUGAUGUAAUUGAUAAUUUCUAAAGCAAUUGAUGAUGUCUAGGUCUUUGAAUAAGCAUCUACAGUAAUAAUUGUGGCAUUUAACACCAUCUUGCAUAAGAACAUAACAAGAAACUCUCAUGCAAUUGGUAGUCAGAGAGGCCUUUAACUCGUGUAGUUUUGCUUUACUAUGAUGAUUGAUGGGCUCCGUGCAGAUGCAUCUGAAUUCUGACUUGCCUGAAAUGUCUCAGACAAAUGGCUCCAAGGACCUUGGCUUUAGAAGCUAAGUAUUAUAACUAGAUAUUAAUUUUAAUUAGGGAUAGGUAGUAUUUUUUAUCAUUAGUUUAUCUAUUACUAGUAGUAGCUAAGUUUAUUCAAGCACUUAACACUUAUUAAGAUUAGAACUGGUAUUUAUAGUAUAUAAUCAAGUUGUCCUAACUCACAUGCCACAUUUUCGUGUGAAUAUCACUCUUUUAAAGUGGGAAAGAAAAUGAUAGACUUGGAUUGGCUAGCCCAAUAGCUGUCUUUCCUAGAGUAUUAUUGGUUAAAAUUUAGGCAUCCAACAAGGGCAACAAGCUAUUGUGUAAUACUUAGCAUAUGGAUUUGAGCAUAAUUUGAUGGACACUUUUAUUGUUAUUUCUCCACGAAUUCUGAUGUUGGGAUAAGCUUUUCCAAGUAUUGUUAAUUCUUUUCAUUCUUUAUAACUAUGGUGAGUAUUGCUUUUUUAAAAGCAUGGACUAGUAUGAAAUUAAUAGUUAAGUAUUUGGUUAUUGUUUCAUGUGGAUUCAACAAUUUUUUUCCUUGAGAACUAAAAAAUCUGUUAUCUGAAAUUGAAAGUUUGCAAGUUCUAUAUUACAAUUAGAACUUGUAAGUGUUUUUGUUGUUUCCUUCUCACCUAGUGCCCUACAUCUGUAGUUCUAUAUCAUCUAUUGAAGUUAUGAACAUUUUAGAGGUUUCUGCUAAUAAUAUACAUAGACUAAUUUCGGGACUAAAAGAAUGCUGCUCAUGUCCUUUUUUUGUUUUUUGCUUUUGGUAUAGCUAAAAGAAAUUAAGAAUAUAAGAUGGAUACGUCCAAUCAAGAGCAGUCUUCACCAAUUAUUAGAUCAGUUGGUGAUUCUACUAGUCCGGUGAAUAUCACUGACAAAGGUAUUGCUGUUAACGUUGACAAAAAGUUGGAAUUCUCUCUUGAAGAUGAAGAAUUAGGGAGUGAAGAUGAAGCCAUUAGAAGGUGAUACAUAUACAACCACUUGAACAACCAAUCAAGAGGCUGCUACAGAUGAUGGCUUGGACGUUUUUUGGAAAAAAAAAAGGAUUAAAAAAUCAUUAGCAUGGGAUGACUUCAAAGAUGUUGAAAUUGGCCCUCAAAAAACUCUUAUGUCGGCGUGUAUUCAUUACCAUGCAAAAUUCAAGAAGAUGAAAACUAGUACGACUUCAAGUUUACUAAGGCAUAGGAAGACAAUUAAUGGAUAAAACUCUAGCCAAGAUUACACUUCAGAGAUGGUUCAUGUAACAGAUCAUUGAUGCAGUUAUAAUUCCAAUAUUCUUUAACAAACAAGUUUUUAACUGCUGAUACGAUCUAACAGUCAAUUUCUCCUUACUGUUCGAUGACUAAGAUACGACCAUUGACUAUUACCCUAAUUUAGAAAUAAUCCUAGGUACUACCAUAGGAUUUAAUUCCUCAAUUGCAUUAGAAACUAGAGAAACCCUGUUCUAAUCAAUAAACAUGCUACGAGAGUUUAUUUAAAUUAGAUUGUACGUUUUCCCGACACAAACCUAAUUAUACUAGUUGCUACCAGGAUUAUAAUAGUCAAACAAUUACGGAUUCAACUAUUCCAGUUAGCAAAUAGAUUGUGUGUAUAAUUAAAUAUUGCGCACCUAUUGAAUCACACACACUAAUCAUACUCUAUAAAGCAGAAAACGUACAAAUACCAAAGAAUAGAGGAGAUAAUAAAAUCAAUUAGAUCUUACAAUGAUAGCUGAACCAAAUCCUUGGUGUUCCUUAACUAGCAAUAUGAAAUUAGUUCUCCAUUAAUGGAGAACAAGCCAUGCCAAAAAAAUCUGUUCAAAGCUUUCAAUCUAUUCAAACCUUCUCCAAAAAUCAGCCAAAAGGAAAAAGAACACGAACACUAUGUUUUCGAUCUCAAGCCAAAGAUCCUCUCUACUGAAUUCUACUUGGCUAACUUCUUAAUUGAUUGGUCUCCUGCUACCCAUCAAAUUCCUAAAAAGUCCUAUUUCAAUUUAGUUUCCUAAAAGCUCUCCAAUUGCUUGAGACUAACGUGGAUUGCCAAGGAAUAGGAAACUUUAGCAGUCGUCAAUUUUUGGAAUUUGACUUGGAUUGGGAAGGUGUCCGACGUUAGGAAAUUGCCAAUUUCUAGUUUUGAACCUUGAACUUCGGCGUCCUAUGUGCAAAUCGUUAGGAAUCCUCCAAUUAAGCCUUUUUCGCUCCAAUUUUUGAAAUUAAUACAAAAAUACCAAUUGUGGGAAAACAGUCAAAUAAGGUGAUAUCUAGUAUAAAUAAAAAGGAAAAUAUAAGCAAAUAUACCAACUAAAUGUACCCUAUCAGUAUUGAAAGACCACUCAAAUUAUUUUGUGAUAAUGACUCAGCAGUCCUAUAUUCCAAUAAUAACAGGAGUUCGACAAAAUCUAAAUAUAUAGAUAUAAAGUUCCUGACUGUUAAAGAAAGAGUACAGAGUGGACAGAAAUCAAUAGAGCAUAUCGGGACAAACUCCAUGGUUACGGAUCCGCUAAUUAAGGGAUUAUCACCCAAAAUGUUUCAUGAGUAUACUAUUCAUAUGGGUAUCAUGUUAUUAAAUGAUGUACAGUUUUAGUAGGAGUUUGUUAUUUUGAAAUGCUCUUGCGAUAUUAUAUUUUUGGUUAUUAUUGUUUUAAGGAUAUUUUAUGCAUAAAUAAAGUUUGAAUUCAUUUACAUUCUGAUUUUGGUAUGAAUUGAUCUCAUGAAAAUUUAAGAUGGACCAUUGGAAAUAGUCAUAUUACGAUUAUAUGACAUGAAAUUUUUAUACUACACAUCCACAUUAUGAUUCAUAUCAUUCAAUUGCAUCAAUAUAUGUGACCAUUAAUGGGUCGAGUUACGAAAAUUGUAGCAAAGGCCGCUUUGAUCCUAUGUUGGUGUAAUUGAUGGACCGAAUUGGCUAUAGAUACAUUUUAGUAAUAACAGUAAAGUUGAGCUCAUGCAGUUUAUUGCAAAACAUAAUUAUAAGGUUACACAUAUAGUCCAAAUGGGAGAUUAUUGGAUCCUUAAUCCAACAUUGGACCUAUAUGUGAAUAAUUAUGUGAUGCAAUUGUCAAAUAAGACUAAGUCCAAUUAAAGUGAUCAAAUAUGAUUUGAGCUUAAUAUAUCUAACAGGAUGUGGGUCUUUAAUGUAUAGAGAUUUAAGAGUAUUUUCUAUUUCUAUGAUAGUCUGAAAUAGGAAUCCAAAAGGUAACAGGAAUGUUAUCUAUAAAUAGGGUUAUGGUCCCCAGAUCAUAAGUAUUCUUAUUGUCGUAUUUUCUAGUGCAAACAAAAUAACUCUUUCCUGAUAUCCCAUUGUCAGGAAAGAUACCAAAGAGAAAUUAAAGGACUCUCUCAAUGAUUGGAAAAUAUGUGUUGACCUGGAAAGUCACCCCAAAAUCUUUUGGGAUUCAAGCACUAAUUUGUCAACAUGAAUCAAGGUAUGCUUUCACAAUUUUUCUGUUAAUUUAUUUCUUAAUAAUCGCCAUCUAGAUUUUGAUAGGUGAUGGUUUUCACCAAAAGUUAAAUAUAAACAUCCACCCUAACAGUCAUGCAUUUUUUUUAUCUGUGUAUGAGGUGAUGUAAUGCAAUGAGCUCUAAUUUUCUUAGAAGUCCAUUUCUCAAUUAUUUGCUCCAUUAUUGGACAUGAUAGAUCUAACUUCAUUUUGGGUAUGAUUUGCUACAGAGGAUGUUACCAAAUCUGUUUGUCCCUACAAAUGUAUAUCUAAUAGGUACAGAAUGCCCAACUGCCAUACCCCUUUUGAAGAGUUGAUACAUACUCUUGAAGUUCCCUGGCCAUUCUCACUCUUAUCAGCGUGUCUUGCACUCCUUCUAGCUCUAGUAUUGAGCACUUUGAGGAUCAAAUUGGUUGGGUUGGGAUGUUCAUAUAUCAAUGUGAAUUCAACUGAGCUCCAAAAUCAUCAUCAUUCUCCUUAUCUUCUCACUUUAUCUGACGUACAGUCUUCAUUAACUUUUUGGUUCUAGGAUGCAUCUAUGUGGUAUUGCCAAAUUGGCAAUUUUUAUUUUUAUAGUAAUUUAUUUGCGUAACAUCUAGGUCUGUGGUACCAGAGCCGAAGAAACUCAGAGCCAUGUCCACAUGAUGUACUUUUAUGGGUUCCAAUACUUUUAGAUAACCGUAUAAUCUCCCUAUUGGCCUCCCAAUGCAAUUGUCGAGAUUGUGUAAACAUUCACAUGUAAUCUGAAGUUUUUGGGCAAUAGGCAAGGGUUUAGAAGAAAAAACCUUGUUCACCUUGGAACCUUAUGUCUAGGAGUUUAAUUUAUUAGUUCUUUUGUCAUUUUUUAUUACGAGAAAAUUUUGAUUGUUGUACAUAUUUUUCUUUGCCAUUUUAAAAGACUGUGCUUAAGUUUAUGAUUAUUUAGUGUCUUUUGAGUUUUACACCUGAAAGAUAUUAGUCUUUCUUCUUAUUCAUUAAUCUUUAAUCCACAAAGAUACAUAAGUUAAUCUUUACUGAGUCAGAAUUUUGACUUCUUUUCCAAUGAACUGUACUUGGUUGAGGCUCACUUAGCUUCAACUUUCUGGUUUGAUACAGCGAGAAUAUGAGAGAUUUUCUAAACAAAAUUUUACUUCAUUUGCAAAAUUUUCAAAUGUUACUCAUGUGCUAAUGGUGAUUAACAGCAGGUAUGAAGGUGCUUUGAACAGAUUUAUAGACGAGAUCAACUCCAUUGCAGCAUACGAAUGGUAGGAAGGGUCAGUGCAUAGCACAUGCUUGCUUAAUCUUGUUCCUGGUCCCAGAAACAAUGGCGUUGGAGUAAUAAAGUUCACCAUUGUUAGGAGUAUGUUUAGUCUGAGUAUGACCAUUCUUGUAUCUGAUCCUGCACAUCACAAGCAUUAUACAAAGGAAUAAAGGUUUGACUUUGUUACUUAGAGUGAAACUCUUUGGCCCUAUGGAAAUCUGAUCAAAAUUUUGUGGCUCAGGAAUUUGCAGCCUAAUGUUUCUUUUAUGCACUGCAAGACGAUGAUGCUAGUAUGAAUUUGGGGUAUUUAGUUCAAUAGAGUAGAUAUGGCCUAUGAAUUCGGUGUAUUGAAUUAUAAUAGCUUUAAAAAGUUUAUUUAAGCAAUAAAAGUUAUUUAAUUGAGAAUUUUAUCUGCAUAUCAGUAUCCAAUUGCUUGAUUACAUAUUUGCUAAAGUUGUAAAUUAACCAGAGUUGGGCAUUCUCAUGCGUUGCAUUAGGGCUCACACAGAUAUUCUAGUCCAAAGAACAAAGAACCUGAGAUCAUCUACAAAGGUGUUGGAAUUGGAAUAGAAGUUGGAAGAUGAAAAUUUGACGAUUCUACUCUUCAAAUGGGGCCAAUUCCAACCUUCAAGCAGUAAAUUCCAUAGACCUACUUGGAACCAUUUUUGCUAUCUCAAUGGAAUUUCCAUAGAACUACUUUCUGCAAGAAUAUGAAAUACUUACUUCAAGUGUAUUGACAUUAUAUUCACACUUUCGAGUGUAUAUCCAUUUGCACAAAUUCAAAGAAAGAAUUAAGAAAUCCAAAACCAUUAUACUCAAUGUCAUUUAACAUUGCACUUAAUUGCAACUUUAAAAUUCAUACUCACAAGUUGCAAAAAUAACAUGGUACCACAUGAAAUUCUACACAUUCUUUUUUUUCGUUAUUCACAAUAAAAAUCCAUAUUAUUGAGAAUCUUCAAUAAUAUAUCAGAUUCUUUGCAUUAAUUUUUAGCAAAAGAAAAAAAACCCCCACUAUUUUAGUGCAUUAAUGAUACACAACUAAACACACAUCACAUUCAAAGAUCAAGUUCUUUGCAUAUUAGCAUAGAAAUUACUAUGAAACCCCACUAUUUGUCACAACUUUAUAACAUGCAAUGGAGUAUAUAUCUAUUGCGAUUAGAGUAAAUGACCCAAUUAAUCAUACCCACUGGAAGUUUACUUUUACUUGUUAAGAAGGCACCUUUAAAAAUUUCUUUCAAAAUGCAUGGUAGCAACUUGUCUAGUGCAGCAACAAGUUGUAAUUGUUCAGCAAUUUGAACUCUUUCGGAUCUACUUCUCUAGUGCCAUAUUUUCCUAUUAAGCCUUCCAAGACUUUUGGUAGUAGGACAAGAAGUUUCAUAGAAACUAUAAAAGUCAUUAUAAUACUAGUAAUGGAAUUCAACAACUUCCCUUUUUCUUAAAUUUUUCUUCAUAAGCAUUCUUUUAUUGUUAACAUGUUUCAUUAGUUGAGAUCUUCUCAUUUUUCGUCCAUAGGUAGGCUACUCAAGUCAAGUGACUUGUAAGUUGAACUCCAUCUUGUUCUGAAUCACUUUAAAAUUGUUGCUCUGCUAGAACAAUUAGACAAAUGUCAAAUAGAAAAAUUAACUAUGGUUAUAAUAAUAAUAAUAAUUAUUAUAACAAUAAUAAAAUUAACUAUAAUAAAAUAGUCAAAAUAAUAAUAUAAUAAUGCACAAAUGUAAUAGGUUGAGGUAAGGAUAUUUCGCUUUCUUUAAGAUGAUUCAAAUCUCUGCAAAAGAAUCAAUUUCGGUGUCGUAGAAUCUUCGGCUUGUCACUCCCAGGAUACAACAGUCUAACGACACUUACUGUUACUCUCAUUAGUCUGUACAACUGAGAGAGUAUUACUCUACAAACACUUUUUUUUUUUGCCAGUCUAUGAGAUAGAAAAUAACAAAAGAGUAGAUAUUUUCUCUCAUGAAUUGUGGCUCAAAAAACAUAAGUUAUUAUAGCAUCUCUUUCUAUCUCAACAACGCAUAUUUAUAGAUCAAGAAAAAUUAGCCAAACAUAACCUAAACUAAUAAUAUGCUAAGUAGAUGCUGAAAAUUAUUGGCUAUUCAAGACACAUUCUAAUUUGAAUUGUAGGUUACAAAAUUUAUUGUAAUUGAAAAGCCAUAAUUUUAUAUAAUAAAUCUUUAGUCAAAAAUCAUUCAAACACCAAUAAAUUUCAAAAAUAUUCACCAAUUUAUUCUCCUUAUAACUUACACAUCUAAUUGAGAAUUUAACAAUUUUAUUAAAAUAUUUUAACACCUUAUAUAAAUAAUCUAGAAAAUUUUGGGUUAGUUCCAUAAAAACAUGAAAUUAUUUCCAUAAACUAUGGGAGAUCUUUUAGCCACAAGCAAGUUAUGAAUUAACCAUAUUUUAUUUUCAGCUGUAAAGCACAUAUGUUCAACUUCUAAUCGAUUACUUAAACUUAACUUCACUUCUAUACUUUCACAGAUGCUAUUCCUAUAAAAGACUCUUACACUCAUUCAGAGAAGUCCAAAAUGCAAGUUGUUUUUGUAAUUUGUCAUCCUGGAUUAGAUCUAUUAAAGGGGCCAAUUGUAGUGUGGUAAAUUAUGACCAUCCCCCACUUCGUGUCCACCAAAUUAUGAGGUGUGGCCCAAGAGUUUAUUUUUAUUCUUUUAUUUUUUUUAUGUCAAUUACUUCUGUAGAGCUUGAAAGUUCUUUGAUGGAGACUUGGAAGCAUGUUCUUAAUACAGGCAAAAAAUAGUUAGAUUUUGGUGAUUUUGAGGUCAUUCAUGUUUUUUAAAACAUAGAUGCAUCAGUAAUUUCACCCGCACCCGUUGUACAUCAAUUUUUUUUACGGCAAUAAUAUUUUUAUAAUUUAAUUUAUCCUAAUUUAGAGGAAAGAGAAAUCUAAAGAGAUUAUAUAUUAAGGGCCAGUAUCUCCACCAACAAGUAAAAGAUGGAUUUAGUUUUUUUUUGUUAACUGCUGAGGCAAAGGCGCACCUUCUGUGCAUGAACUUGCCGGAGUUUGCUUUGGUGUUUGUGGCUGUGGGGAAGUGAGAAGAAAAACCACGUUAGAGUUUUGGGAGCAACACGUGCAUGGUCUUAACUGAUGCGCUUUGUUAGUUGUCUGGUGCCUGCCAGAAUUAAGCUACGUGUUGUGCUUAAAUGGCACCAGAUUGACAUUCCUACGGUGGGAAGGCCGAUACCAUUCUUACCGUAUACAAUUCCAUGAUAAAUAGGGUCAGGCCACAAAAAUUCCCCCUCCAUCCCAUUGAUAUUGCCAUAUUUUCUUUGUUGGAUUGUUCCAAAUUAUUUGUCAUUUAUAUAAAUUAGUUGAUACAUUUCGAUUUAAUUUCUCCAUUUAGUCAUCUACUCCUUAGACAGUCCGUAAAAGUUCAAAGCAUGUAUUUUUUUUUUUUGAGUCCACAUACUAUUAUCAAGAAAGUAAAACAACAACUGUUGUAGUAUGUAGCAGUUAUCAAGUAAUUAAGACCACAACAACAAUCUAAGAUUUGGUAAAACUUUCAAAUAUCUAAGAUUUUCAACAAAACCUAGGAUUAAACAAAUAUCAAGGCCCCACAAUUCUUUAUGAGCUAGAAACUACAAAUGAAGAUUCAAAUUCUAUCCACUAUUAAUAAAAAUUGCAAUUCUUCAAGUGCGGCAAACUUUAUAAGAUGGAAGGAGCAAUACUUACUGCAUACAUAUACAUGUAUUGUUUCUUGGCUUGAUUUGUCCUCAUAAAUAAGAUCAUUGUAUUGAUUUUGGUGAAGAAAAACAAUUAGUCAAAGCUCAAACCGCAACUAUUAUAACAUCUUCAACAAUUACAAUAGUGUCAAGAAAGACACCACUUAAAAUGUUGUUUAUUAGGACACUUACAAUAUUACAAUGUAGUGAAACUCAACUGGAAGGUAAAAUUACAAUAUGACAGUAAAUUACUGCAUCAUAAAUACGCUUCCGAAAGUACAAGCUUUAUUCGUGCAUGCCCGGCUUAAAAUCUAUUUGUUCUCUGAAAUCUCAAUAUUCAAUCCCCUGGGGAAACAAAUACCAGUAGGUGUCCGAAUUCUCUCUGCUCCGUUGGUAACUCUCCAGUAGGGCUGCAAACGAUUCGAGCCGCUCGCGAGCGGCUCAAGUCAAAGCUCGAGUCGAGUUCGGUCAAAUUCGAGCUCGAGCGGCUCGUUUAUAAAUCGAGUCGAACUCGAGCCAUCCUCUAUUAGGCUCGUUACCUCGUCGAGCCGCUCGACGAGUUUUGUGAAAUUACAAAAAUACCCUUAUUUAUAUAGUUAAUUACUAAGUUAUAACAUGGGAAUUGGGAUGGAAUUCGACUUUGAGUAUCAGACGGAGGCUCGCUCAUAGCAAAAAUUACUUUCCCCAAUUCCAUUUCUUAUUACUUCUCCUCUACCGCAUCUCUGUUUGGUCUUUCCUUCUUUCCUUCACAUCUUCUCAAGCCCUAGCCAUCGCCGCCACCACCCACGAGUGCACCACGCUGACCACAGCCACCACCGCGGCACCGCCACUGCUACCCUUCAGGCCUCAUUCGACUGCAAUUCGACUUCAUUCGAGAGAAACCUUCUUCCUCUCGAAGCAAUUCGACUGCAACUCGCCUUCGUCGUUGGCUCAGCUGUAUUCGGACAGAGGCUUGGCUUCCUCCACAGUGCGUCUUAAGGACUGCUAACCAUCUUUCUUCCUCCAUGGCGCAUCUUAAAGCCCUCAAUUUGAUUUCCAAUUUAAGGUUGGUUCGGGCCGUUCGGCGUUCCUUUCCCUUCGUCUUCCUUUCUCUUGUCUGAAGUUUGUUGCUUCCCUCUAGUUAAUUUAACUGGUAUUUUAGCUGGAGUAGAUGCUGAAAUAACAUUUUUGAGCUCAAAUUAUUGCUUUUUUCUUUUUUUUGCACACCUGCGUGUGUUGUCUACCUUUAGCUCCGAAUCAUUCCUCCUAUGCUUUUAGGAUUUUUUGGUGACAAGGAUACAAUUUUUUUUAUAAUUUUUUAUCUACUGAUUUUCUUAUCUUUUGAUAUAUAGUUUUGGAAAAUAACAUGUAAAAACUAUCUUUUCCUACUUAAAUUGAUUUGCUACUAUGUCUUGCUGUGGCAAAGAUUUUAGCCCAGUUGGGGUAGUGGUGGUGAACUGGUGAUCAUGGGAGUGAUGAAAAAAUCAAACGGAUUCCCAUUUAUCAUUCUCCGUAAGAAUGAUAAAAAACCACCAACUACUUCUGACCCCACAGCACCAGCAUCACCUGUUGCUCAUCUCCUGCCCAGCCAAUCUACAUAAUUAAUGGUUUUUAUGCAUGUUAAGCAGCAUUUUUUUAACUUUCUCGUUUUGAAAUCCGUAUUAGCACUGAACAGAUGACAUGAUGCAUCUGAGUGGAAUGUUUCGGCAAUUUUUCAAAAAUUGAAAGAGAAGGGCCUGUGAUGUGAGAAAUAGAUAUUUGCUACUCUUGAUGGGUAAUUUAUCUACCCACCUGAUGAUUUUCUAUCCACCAAGAUCUUUGAGGCCUGCUGCUCUUUUAAAAUUUGUUUUGCGAAACUUCUGCACCUCAAUUAGCUCUCAAGUAUCCUUGAAUGGGUAAAAUUCCAUAUGCAAUGAAGAUACAAAAUCUUUACCAGGGAAACCUACGUAUACUUCUUCAGAUCAUUAUUUUGUAUCUCACAACAUAUGUAUACUAACAUAACCAGCUGUAGGUUUGUAUCUCACAUAUAAACCCCUGUUUGUAAACUGCUCUGUAUGUAUUUUUUUUAGUUAUUUAUUGGUCCUGUAGGUUUUUCUGGGGUUUUUCAUUGGACUCGUCGGUAGUAUAACCUGAUGAAAAAGCAGGGGCUUGCUGCCGUUUACCGUGAAUGUGUCUCUAGUAAACUUCAGGGAAAUAAAACUUGGCAUUGUUAUUGGGUGAACCUCUUGAGCUCACAAUGUAUCUGAAAUGUUAUUAUUGUGCUAAAAUGUUAGCAUUGUUGAUCAAUGUUAAGUGCUGGAACUAGAGCGCUUUUUUUUUUGCAGUUAAGUGCUAUUUUUUUGGGGCUGGUUAAGUGCUAUUUUUUUUGUUAAUUCUAUGUGUUUUAUAGCAUUGAAUGUUUGAGAGUAAAAGAUGGCUGUCUAAACAUGUUUUGUUAUUUUCCUUUGUUCAUAGUUGGAUCAUAAUAUGGAUAAGUUUGCCGAAGAUGUGUCUUCACAGCUAGGUAGGACUGGUGCAAAUUCCACUAGUCCUAUGAAUAUCAUUGAUACAGAGGGUGGAAAUGACAACGAGAAAGAGUUGGAAUACUCUCUUGGCGAUGAAGAAUUAGGAAGCGAAGAGGAGCAAUUAGAAGGUGAUACACAAGCACCUGUUCAAAGAUCAAACCAAGAUGCUAUUGAAGGUGAUACUUUAGACGCUUUUAAUAAGAAAAAGAGAGCCAGAAAAUCUGAAGCAUGGGAUGAUUUCGAAGAUGUGGAAGUUGGGCCUCAGAAGAAAAUUUACUCAGAGUGUAAGCAUUGCCAGUCUAGAUUCAAAAAGACGAAGAUCGGUACAACUUCAAGUUUAUUAAGGCAUCGGAAAAAUUGUCCAAAACGAUUGGAGAAGCUCAAAAUAAUAGAGGCACACCAACAAAAACUCAAUUUUCCAGCCACUGAUUCUAGCUCAAAUGCUCAUUCCCUCCUUCAUACUGGCAAGUUUGACAUGGCUGCCAUGAGACAAAGCGCAGCUGAGUGGGUGCUUAUGCAUGAGCAUCCCUUUUCAAUUGUGAAGGAAGAUGGCUUCAACUUAAUGAUGAAAAAGGGGAUGCCUGAAUGGCAAAAAAUCAGUCGGACUACCAACAAGAAAGAUUGUCUUUCUGUGUAUGAGAGAGAAAAGCAGAAAUUGAAGCAUUUGUUAAGUAAAGUCAAGAAAAUCAGCUUGACCACAGACCUUUGGAAGUCCAAGAACCAAAAAAUUGAAUACAUGGUUAUAACUGGACAUUGGAUUGACAGCCAGUGGAGAUUACAAAAACGGGUUCUCAACUUUGUGCAUGUUCCCCCUCCACGUCCGGGCAUUGGCAUUGCAGAUGCUAUUUACAAAUGCAUGUUGGAUUGGGGCAUUGAAAGCAAAAUUUAUACAGUGUCAGUUGAUAACGUGUCAAAUAAUGACACCGCACUACGAUGUUUGAAGGACACCUUCUCGAGAAACAAGUGCUUGUUGGCCAAAGGAAAGUUAUUCCAUGUGAGAUGUUGUGCUCACAUACUUAACCUGAUGGUUCAAGAUGGCCUUAGUGAAAUUGAAGAAAUAAGUCAUGACAUAAGGGCAAGUGUAGAGUUUGUAAACAAAACUGAAGGGAGACGAUUGAUCUUUGGUGAAAUUGUACACCAGCUACGAUUGCCUGAAAGAGUGCUGAUUUAUGACUGCAAAACAAGGUGGAAUUCGACCUAUGAGAUGCUAGCUUGUGCUCUCAUGUUCAAUGAGGUGUUUUCGAGAUUCAAAGACAGAGAGCCAAGCUAUACUUUCUGUCCUUCCACAGAAGAUUAGGAAAAGGUAAAAAAGGUGUGCAGUAUUUUAGGAGUUUUUUGAAAUGCGACUCAUAUAAUAUCUGGGAGUGAUUAUCCGACAGCUAAUUUAUAUUUAAAUGAAGUUUGUCGGAUAAAAACGCUUCUAGAUCGCAAAGCAAAUGAUGAAGACAGCUUUAUUCAAGCAAUGGUUUGGAAGAUGAAGAUGAAAUUUGACAAGUAUUGGGGUGAGUGUGACCUAAUGAUGUCCAUAGCAGCCAUCUUGGAUCCUAGGCUCAAGAUGCGAGUUAUCAACUACUUCUUUCCACUGAUAUAUCCUUCACAUUAAGUGCAAACGAAUAUAAAUAAAGUCCGGCAAGCUUUGUAUGAUUUAUAUGCCGAGUAUGUGGAGAUGCAUGUUUCAAGUUCAAAAGAUUCUGGAGGAAGCUCUCAAGUAGUGACAAAUGAACCAGGUAGCAAGAGUAGCAAUAGUUCAUCCUCUACAAUGACACAUGUUACUGGAAUGUGUGAAUUUCUAUCUCACAUUGCUACUGUGGAACCCGUUCAACCAGAGAAAAAUGAGCUAGGUAUCUACUUUGAAGAUGGCCUUCUCAGUGCUACGGAGAAGUCGAGCCUGGAUAUUGUCAACUUAGAUGCUUUGAAAUGGUGGAAAAGCACAACAAAAUACAAGAUUUUGCCUAAGAUAGCUGCAGAUAUUUUAGCCAUUCCUAUUAGCACCGUAGCUUCGGAAGCGACAUUUAGUGCUGGAACUAGAGUGCUUGACUCCUACCGUGCUUCUUUAGCUCCAGAAACUGUAGAGAUGUUGAUGUAUGUUGGGGAUUGGUGUCGUAGGCUACACGGGGUGAAAAAAAGGGAUAAGGUAAUUAUGUUACAAAUUACGUUUUUCAUCUAUUACAAUAUGUUUUAUAGUUGGCUUAAUCUUGGUCUUUAUUAUUUUUGUUUACUAUGCAGAAAAUGAAGUCAGCACAAGAGAUUUCAUUGCCUAUUCCUUGAACUUUUUCAUGUUUUAGGUAAUCUAUAUUCUCAGUUUUUUGGCUGCUGGUUUCUUUAUAUGUGUAUAUGAUUUAUUUGGUGGCUGGUUUCAUUGCAACUAAAAUGGAAGUUAUUUGCCUGAUUUCUUGGCUGUGCAGCAGCUGCAGCUUAUUGGUGCAUUAUUGGCUGUAGGUGCGUUUUUCCACCUACAUUUUCAGUACCAAGAUUGUAAGCUUCCAGUUUGUGCUACUUGUCAAAUUUUCUUUUGAGUUCUAUACGUGUCUGGCUUAGUUGAGUAUUUGCAGAAGCAUGCAAUUAGAAGUAAAAGAAAAUUUUCUCAGCAAAAAGGCGUGUUUUGGCUAAGUUAUUGCUGAAUGUGCAUUUGGUUAUCAGGUGCUGUGGAUUGGUCAAGUUAUUGCUGUUUAUAUCCUUGUUAGGAUAGAAAUGGUGUUAGUAUUGAGUGUGCAUGGUGCUCGUUUGGAUUCUUAGUCUGAUCUAAUUCAUGUCGCAGAUGGUCAAUUUUUUUCAAUGGAGAUUUGCUUAAACAAAAUGAAUUUUUUCGAGAAUUGCGCUUGUUAGUCUUGGUGGCCUGUCCAAAUUUUAACUGUGGCUUCUACAAAAUUAGGAUGAUCAAUAUAAGCUGCUGAUAUGACUGACUAGUUUGCACUCGAAUGUGAAUGAAUUUCUCCUCUAAAUUAUAAGACAGUUGUCCAGUUGCUGUGGAUUGUUUACAAUUUUGAUGCUCAGGUUUUCCUCCCCUCUUUGAGUAAAAUACUUGCUUUAAGUUGUCUAGUUAACUUACAGAGUAGAUUUUCCUCAUUCAACUAGGUACUAGAUUCAGUCCCCUUGAUUAGUUUAGUUAUAUGUUCAGUGAGUACAGGUCUGAAAGAGCAACCAAUGAAUGCUAGUGAUGUUUUUGUAUAGCUCCUUGAUUGGCACUUAUUUAUUUUUGGACGUAUUGAGCAGGUUGGAGCUGGGACUAUGAAUCCUCUGACAUUUCUAAGAAGAGAAGAAGUUCGUGACUUCAAUGACUUCAAUGACUGUGCUUAGUUUGUAAUUUGUAAUUCAAUAAGUUUCUGUAGUAAGAAGUUCUUGGUCUGCUUUUGGUUGUUAUUUACUUAUUAUCUGAUAUUAAAUUUUGUGACCGAGAAUGUUGAACUUGUAUGAAGUGUUGGGCAUUUAAAUUCUAGACUUAUAUGGCAUGUAUUUCUAAAUUUAUGAUUGUAUUUAGUGAAAAAUUUGUAGGCCUUUUUUGAUUAUGAUAAUGUGAAAAAUUAUGGUCAAUUAUAGGCAUGAAUUGUAAGCUAUGAUUAUGCUCAUAAUUUGGUUAGGAAUUAGUUGAUAAAAUGAAUUUUUUUGUUACAUUAAUUCCCAAAAUUCGAGCAAACGAGCCGUUAACGAGUCAAAAAUUCAAGCUCACAAAUCAAGCUGCUCGCGAGCCAAAAAUCGAGCAUCAACUCGCGAGCCUUAACGAGUCGAGCUCGAGCUUAGCUUUUUUUAGUCGAGUCGAGCUCGAGCUCAAAUCUUAUAGGCUCGUUGAGCUCGAGCUCGAACUCGAACUCACCCAUUUUUAAGCCGAGCUCGGCUCGAUAAGUCCAAAACUCAACUCGACUCGGUUCGUUUGCAGCUCUACUCUCCAGCUGAAAAUUCAAAUUAGACAAGCUUUUUUAUCAGUUAUCACUUUCUUCUUGCAAUCAUGCAUAUUAAAAAACCGAAGAAGUUAAGUGGACAUUAAUUUAUACUAUAUAGGAAUUAGCUUCUUCUAUCUGUAUUUAAGUGAAGACGGUGAGAAUUGUGACUUGGAAAUCCUUACGUGUAUUUUGUGACCAAGUAAUGCAGAAAAAUUGACAUCUGCACCUUUGCAUAGUCAGCACCAACGCAAAGCCUCGUACCACCAGCAAAUGCCAUGAAAUUUUUUGAUCCCGCGUGUAAUUCUUUGCCCUUUUGAUUGAAAAAACAGCAGAAAAACCCUGAAUCAUUUUUACUUGAUUUUGUUUAACUUUUGUUUUGUAAGUUUAUCUUUCUUGUGUGCAUAUAUUACACAAAUCUGUCGAUGAUCGAAUUACCUCCCAUCGCCAUGGGUCAAAUUCAUGUGGGUUUUCAUAUACAUUAGGAUCCAAAUGAACAGAUGAUGGACAAACCAUUACCGUCCAGCCAGCAGGAAUUGUAUACCCUGCAAAUCAUUCGCACUUAUUAGUCAAAACUGGAAGUUAUAAUGGAGGAAAAGAAGAACAAAGGAAACAAAUCAUUUAUUUUCUAUAUUUUCCAAGUAGUUACUAAAGAGAGUUUUUCUUUUUUCUUUUUCCUGCAGGAGAAAGGCAUCACCGGUCCAAAUAAAGAAAGUGUGACAAAUGAUUUUCAAGAAGAUGCCAAGUGACAGAUUGAAGUAUACCUUUUACUUCAACUUCCUUGACAACUUUGCGCAAAAUCCCAGGGGCAAUAUUUGCAAGCCUAACUGUUUCAUUUAUAACCUACAGUAGACAACAAAACUUAAGAUGUAAAUGGUCUAGCUCACUAUAUGAUUCAAAUGAUAGAUACAAUGAAAUGUCUGGUUAAUUGGAACGUACCACGUGUGUGUGAAAGUCAUAGACUUGUACUCCUUCCAUGAAAUACUAGAACCUUCUGUUUCUCGCAUUUUAAGAAUAUUUUCAUGUUCUCUCUACAAAAAUGAAUGACUAUUUAAAUAUGAAGUAAUAUUUCAUAUUUUGUUAGUGUAAACAUCUAAUCAUAACAAUGUAUACCGUCAGUAAAUAUAAAAUAUUAAUCAUUUAAGUAUUCAACUUGCACAAGAAUUGGAGAAUUAAAGAGUAAAUACAGAUAACAACGGGAGAAAUUGUUUCGGAAAGUCAUGGACCUUUAGUUCAGCCAUAACACGUGGAUGGCCAUCUAGAUACCUCAAGGCCACAGUCAAAGCAGUUGAAGUCGUUUCAUGGGCAGCAAAUAGAAACAAAAAUACCAGGUCCCUCGCAAUUUCCUCAUUCAAAAAAGUGUCUUCUUUCUUUAUUUGCUCAAGUAAAUGGUCCGCAAAGUCAUAGUCAUUCGUAGCUCCAUCAUUGCCUGAGCGCUUCUUCUCAAAGAUGUCGUGGAUGACCUUCAUUGCUUUCUUUAAUUCGUUGAAUGUCAUCGGAGGGCAAUGCCUGUUGAAUUAUAGACAAACAGCCGUGCCGCGACGUCGUUGUCGGAGUGAAAGAGCAGUUUGACUAGUCUUGCAGAGGAGACCUGCAACUAGAUAUUUUCUUCCUCUGAAAAGUAUUUUUUUGUGUAUAAUAAAUAAUUCUUAAAAUUCUUCUGUCGCUGACUCAUGCUGUUGUUUCUUAUUGACUUGUAGACUUGUAGUAGUAACAAAAAGUUGAAUUGACAUUAAAGUUAGGAACAAAAAGUUGCAGAGGUUUAAUUACAAAGUAAUUAAUCAAUUAAGCUGCAAGUGAGGAUAUAUUUGAAUGUGGAUUAGCUCUCUGCCACUAUUUUUGGUAAUAAUUACGUGUUAUAGAUAUGUCUUAGCGACCCUCAAAGCUUAUCAAAUUAUAUUGUCAUAGUUCGAGAAGAUUAGCAGAAAAAAAAAGCGAGAGAGAGAGAGAGAGAAUCAGGAACCUGAAUAUCUUAUUCAUUUUAGUCAAAGGGAAUACGUCUAUGCUUUUUGGAAGCCAAAUUUGACGCUCCCGGUUGAAAUAGUGAAAGAAUGGACUUCUGAUUUGGCCUUUCUCUCUCUUCUUUACUAACAAAAGUCUUUUUUAAUUUGUUUAUCAAUUUUUGGGUAAUUUAGUCAUUACAAUUUGCCGCUUUUUAGUUCACUUAAGUUCCGUUUGAUAAAACUGAAUCUGAAUUCUAAUGUUUGAAUUCUGAAAUCUGAAUACUGAAACAAUUAAUUUGCUGAAUUUUAAGCACUGAAAAGAAAUAUAUGAAUGUCUGAAUUUUAAUGUUAAACCUAUUUAUACUGUUUGAUAAACAUUUAUAACUGAAUGCUUGAUAAGUUAAAUUUGACAAAUUUGCCCUUAUAUUUUUUCAUCCAAAAAAGAAAUAGAACCUAUGAUUUAAUUAGCUAAAAAUGUUAGGUAUGAAAAUGAUAAUAUAUAUUUUAAAAUCAAAUUAAUAUAAAAGAUGAAAUAUAUUAUAUGAGGAGUAUGGAGAAGAUGUGAAAAUCAUUCAAAAGGGAAAAAAAAGAAAUAGAAAAUCAUUAGAUAGAGAAUAUUAGAUUGUUUAAUUAGAUAAGAAUUUUAAACAUAAUUAACAAACAAGGGUAGAUUUGGAAGAUAAGAUAAGGAAAUUGAAGUAAUUCUAUUAAUUCUUAUUAGAAUUAAGCAUUCAGUUAGGAUUCUUAUGCUGAAAAAAAUACACACAAGUUCAACACUACUUAACAAGUUCAGCAAAUGGAUUUUCAUUUAUCAAACACUCAAAACAUCUGAAUGUCUGAAAAAAUUCAGAUUCAGCACUUUUUUAUAUUAUCAAACAGACCCUUAGUUAGAUCUUUUGAUUAUUGUAAUAUGUUCUUAAUUGUUGCUCAUAUUUUUUCCUUUGAAGCAAAAAUUUGAAACUAAAACUACAAGGAAAAAUUCAGGAAAAGUCAAGCGAGAAAGAAUGACGAAAAGAAACAUAUCUCCAUGCCUAGAUGAUAGUGCUUCAUUUCUUGAAAUGGAUGAUCAUUUGUGGUAUUAAAUAAAUAAUCAGCCCAAAAGAGUUUUCAUAAAGUAUAUGCUGAUCAAGUGGUCGAGGAAAAUCUAAGAAAUAGACAGGUGAAGCCACAAAAAUUGGUGAGAAAAUAUUCGCAACAAAGAAUAGACUUACAUGCACGAAUAAAAUAAUUUUGUCAAGGUACCUAAACAUACAAGAAUAGAAUAAAACAAUUUUGCAUGAGACGUUCCUCACAUUACGUGUCACAAGAGUAGGGGACACCUCCCCCAACCCCCGCCCCGUUGCAUUUUAAUUCCCCCCGCCCCACCCCGUCCCCCGCCCUGCCCCGCUUCUCCUGCCGGGGCACCCAUGGGGUUAAAAAAAUUUUAUUAUAAUUAAAUUUGAGCAAAUAAUCAAGUACUAAAAUAUCAACAUAUCACCAAAUUAUUAUUCAUUGUAACUUCACAAUUGAAACUCAUAAAAAUAAUUAAACAAAGGUUAUUUGAAUACAAUCUAAUAUGAUAAAACAAAUAUAACUAAAAUAAUCAAGUUUUCACUUUUGAUACAAAUACAAUCACUAAAUUAUUAUUGUAUUUUUUUUUAGAAAAAAAAGUGUUAUUGUAUUAAGUAUAGUUAGGAAUUUAACAUAAAUGUAUUAAUAAAUUUAGUAUAAAUAAUUAAUAAUUUGUAUUAAUAGACAUGUAUAAUUAGUAGUAUAAUUGAUAAUAUCAUUAUAUAUAUAUAAUUAUGUACAUAUAUAUAUAUAUAUAUAUAUAUAUAUAUAUAUAUUUUUUUUUUUUUUUUUUCAAACAGGUGGCGGGGUGGGGUUGGGUCGGGGGAGUAUACCCUAGAAACGGGGCGAAAAAAUUCCCCCCCUCCCCGCUCCCGCCCCAAUGAACCCCUACGGGCUUACACAUAUGUUCCAUUUCUAAUCGAUUACCUAAACUUAAUUUCACUUCUAUACUUUCACAUAUGCCAUUCCUAUAAAAGACUCUCACACUCAUUCGGAGGAGUCCAAAAUGCAAGUUGUUUUCGUAAUUUGUCAUCCUGGAUUAGAUCUACUAAAGGGGCCAAUUGUAGUGUGGUAAAUUAUGACCAUCCCCCACUUCGUGUCCACCAAAUUAUGAGGUGUGGCCCAAGAGUUUAUGUUUAUUCUUUUAUUUUUUUAUGUCAAUUACUUCUGUACAGCUUGAAAGUUCUUUGAUGGAGACUUGAAAGCAUGUUGUUAAUACAGGCAAAAAAAUAGUUAGAUUUUGGUGAUUUUGAGCUCAAUCAUGUUUUUCUGUUAAAAAAAUAGAUGCAUCAGUAAUUUCACCUGCACCCGUUGUGCAUCAAUUUUUUUUACGAUAAUGAUAUUUGUAUAAUCUAAUUUAUUCUAAUUUUAAAAAAAUCUAAAAAAAACUCCAGAAUUAAGCUACGUGUCGUGGUUGAAUGGCACCAGAUUGACGUUCCUACAGUGGGAAGGCCAAUACCAUACAAUUCCAUGAUAAAGAGGGUCAAGCCAAAAUCCCCUCCAUCCCAUUGAUAUUGCAUACUUUCUUUGUUGGAUGGUUCUAAAUUAUUUGUCAUUUAUAUAAAUUAGUUGAUAUAUUUCUAUUUAAUUUCUUCAUUUAGUCAUUUACUCCUCAGGCACUCCGUAAAAGUUCAAUGCAUGUUUUUUUUUUUUUGAGUCCACGUACUAUUAUCAAGAAAGUAAAACAACUACUUUUUUGUAGUAUGUAACAGUUAUCAAGUAAUUAAAAUCACAACAAUCUAAGAUUUGGUAAAACUUUCAAAUAUCUAAGAUUUUCCACAAAACCUAGGAUUGAACAAAUAUCAUAGCCCCACAAUUCUUUAUGAGUUAGAAACUACACAUCAAGUUUCAAAUUCUAUCCACUAUUAAUAAAAAUUGUAAUUCUUGAACUGCGACAAACUUUAUAAGAUGUAAGGAGCAAUAUUUACUGCAUACAUAUACAUGUAUUGUUUCUUGGCUUGAUUUGUCCUCAUAAAUAAGAUCAUUGCAUCGAUUUUGGUGAAGAAAAACAAUUAGUCGAAGCUCAAACUGCAACUAUUAUAACAUCUUCAACAAUUACAAUAGUGUCAAGAAAGACACCACGUAAAAUGUUGUUUAUUAGGCACUUACAAUAUUGCAAAGUAAGGUAAAUUACAAUAUGACGGUAAAUUACUGCAUCAUAAAUACGCUUCUGAAAGUACAGGCUUUAUUCGUACGCGCCCAGCUUAAAAUCUAUUUGUUCUCUGAAAUCUCCAUGUGCAAUCCCUUGGGGUAACGAAUACCAGUAGGUGUCCGGAUUCUCUCUGCUCCGUUGGUAACUCUCCAGCUGAAAAUUCAAAUUAGACAGUCUUUCUUGAAAAAUCGAAGAAGUUAAGUGGACAUCAAUUUAUAAUAUAUAGGAAUUAGCUUCUUCUAUAUGUAUUUAAGCGAAGAUGGUGGGAAUUGUGAUUUGGAAAUCCUUACGUGUAUUUUGUGACCAAGUAAUGCAGAAAAAUUGACAUCUGCACCUUUGCAUAGUCAGCACCAACGCAAAGCCUCGUACCACCAGCAAAUGCCAUGAAAUUUUUUGAUCCCAUGUGUAAUUCUUUGCCCUUUUGAUUGAAAAAACAGCAGAAAAACCCUAAAUCAUUUUUACUUGAUUUUGUUUAACUUUUGUUUUGUAAGUUUAUCUUUCUUGUGUGCAUAUAUUGCUCAAAUAU